AGUGAACGCUGGCGGCAGGCCUAACACAUGCAAGUCGAGCGGCAGCGCGUCCUUCGGGAUGCCGUCGCGGGGGCGACGGGCGGGGGAUACAUCGAAACAUGCCCUGCCGCGGGGGCUAGGGUGGGGACGCAUAGGCACAUACCGCAUACGCCCAAAGGGCGAACGCGGGGGAUCGCAAGACCUCGCGAGACUGGGUGAGCCGAUGUGCGAUUAGCUAGUUGGCGGGGUAACGGCCCACCAAGGCGACGAUCGGUAGCUGGUCUGAGAGGAUGAUCAGCCACACUGGAACUGAGACACGGCCCAGACUCCUACGGGAGGCAGCAGUGGGGAAUAUUGGACAAUGGGCGCAAGCCUGAUCCAGCCAUGCCGCGUGGGUGAAGAAGGCCUUCGGGUUGUAAAGCCCUUUUGUUCGGGAAGAAAACGUGUGGGCUAAUACCCCGCUGUGAUGACGGUACCGGAAGAAUAAGCACCGGCUAACUUCGUG
RNAcentral lists this ribosomal RNA (484 nucleotides) under uncultured bacterium. RNAcentral's name for it is "partial 16S ribosomal RNA". It matches the Rfam family "Bacterial small subunit ribosomal RNA", at positions 30 to 507 of the family's 1533-position model. The record is from RNAcentral.